GUGACACUGCAAAGGGGAGGGUGCUCCUCUGUGGUUGAUAGGAAUGAUUGCUCCAUGUGGGCCGGCCGAAGACAGACCACUAACAACUAUUAACAAGACUGGCAACCUACAAUGUUUUUGAGAGGUGUCAUGUUAAAGAGCCGGAGUGAGGUGGAGAAGGGCAGAGCUCAUGCUUCUCAAUCCUGAAUUACCUUUAGGAGGAGAGAAAUGGAGGCAGAUAUAAAAAGAAACAGCAGGUGGACUGAUGUCACCUAGGACAAUAGAACCAAUUAAAAUGGCUUGGGGGAAGAGACGCCACCCCACCUCAGAAUAACUAUCCAUAGUUCAGUGAUUAGGGUCCUUACCUGGGAUAUAGGAGACCAAGGUUUACAUCCUUCUCAGGAGCAGUGACCAGAACCUGCCUCUUCCACAUCCCAGCACACCGGGCAACGAACCCAGCUGUUGCUGUCCUCGGGCCUCUGUGCCGGUAACAACCCCCUGCCGCUGAAAUGCCGCCAAAGACCCAGAGUGGAUCCCCCGCCGCCGAAGUGCUGCCGAAGACUCGAAGCAGACCGCCGCCAGCAGGAAUUGGUGACGGUUCAGCUUCUGCUAGUCAUGUAACAUUUAACAAAGGAGACAACAGCACCAGUUUCCCAGAGGAUCUUUACUGUCAUGACCGGGCACAAAGUUCCCAGGCCCAAUUAUCACAAUAAUCCUAAAGGCCCACCCUGGAGGCUGCCAUCUCCAAGCAAGGAAUCUGUCUUCUAUUGAUUUCCCAUAGCAACGGAAGUGGUGGAAGAGCUUGUCUCAAGGGAACCUAGGGAACAAACCAAAGCAUUUGGUGAUGUCUGUGUACGUCCUCAGUUCUUUACCUACAAUGUGCUUUGCUAGUGAAAAUUGUGAAGGGCUAUCCCCAAUAUGAGGCUAUGUCUACACAGCUCCACAGUUUGGUCUAUGGAUUCUGUAUCAAGUGAAAAAACGGUUGAGUGCAAGGUGAGGAAGGAUCAUCAACCAUUAUAGGAGAAAGGAAGAAGUAUUUCAUCAGUGACAUCAAAAUUUAAAUAAAAAAUGGGCUCAUCUCAGUUAUAGGAAAGGUAACUAAGAUGAAGCAAAAACAGUAUUGCCUUGCCUGAUUUCACCCCAAAUGUUUGUGGUUCUAAAUGUUGAUGUGUUGGGUUUAUUUUUUGUUAUGGGAACUGUAAAUAUAUAUAAAGUGUGAAGGGUUUGUGCACUGGAAGCACAUCAGUUCUGCUAUUUCAUUUAAUUUUAAAACAGAUUUCAUUUAUAAUUCUUUAUCCACUAUAUUAAGAAGUCACCAGCUUUUGCAUUGCCUGGGAAAUUCUGGCUCAUUCAAGGACUUCAAACUCACCUAAAAUAUGUUAUUGAUUUAUUAAAAUGCAUAUUUCAUAGUAGAUUGCACAGAGUAGAAAGGUGAUAUAAAGCCAUAUCAGGAUUGAAAGGCAAACCCAUGGGAAGACAACUAUGUGAAUGUUGUGUAAAAAAUUAUUUAUUAUGAGAUGCAGGAAAAAAAGCCAAAAUCAUUUAUUAAGGCUAGGAAACUUUAGCCCAUUCUCUUGGUUGGCUUUUCAGGAUUUGUUCCUGUCUCUUCCACCUAAGGAUCAGUGCAAGAAGAACCAGUACGGAUAAAAUAAGAACUGUCCUGAAUGUAUGUGUAAACUCAAAACAAACCUAAACCAAAUCUUUUCAGAGAUUUGGGAGAAGAGAUGGGCAAAUAAGAAUCCUUGGUUGCCUGAGAGUUACAGAAAAUCAAAAUUCUGAUUUGGGUCAAACUGAAUUUUUUUCAGAAUAUUAAGUGAAUUCAAAAAGUAAAAAAAAAAUGUUAUGGGUCAAA
This is a long non-coding RNA of Trachemys scripta elegans, 1831 nucleotides long. RefSeq lists it as uncharacterized. The record is from RefSeq and is a predicted model, not a curated record. The transcript is spliced from 7 exons. Lineage: Eukaryota; Metazoa; Chordata; Testudines; Emydidae.